UGAGUACGAGAUGCUACGGCAUCGAAGCAGUCUAUGUCAUACUUCCAAGAAAAGCUUGCACUGUCAUAAACAAAGAAUGCCUGCACCAUAACCGACACAGGUGGGUAGGUAGAGUAUACUAAGGGGCGCGAGAUAACUCUCUCUAAGGAACUCGGAAAAUGACUCCGUAACUUCGGGAGAAGGAGUGCCUUAUUUAUAAGGUUGCAAUAACAAGAUCCAAGCAACUGUUUACCAAAAACACAGGUCUCCGCGAAGUCGUAAGACGAUGUAUGGGGGCUGACGCCUGCCCAGUGCCAGAAGGUUAAAGAAGUUGGUUAGCACUCGCGAAGCUGAUAACUGAAGCCCUGGUGAACGGCGGCCGUAACAAUAACGGUCCUAAGGUAGCGAAAUUCCUUGUCGGGUAAGUUCCGACCCGCACGAAAGGCGUAAUGAUUUGGAUACUGUCUCGGAGAGGGACUCGGUGAAAUAGACUUGUCUGUGAAGAUGCGGACUACCUGCACCUGGACAGAAAGACCCUAUGAAGCUUUACUGUAACUUGAAAUUGAAAUUGGACUUUAUUUGCGCAGUAUAGGUGGGAGGCAUUGAGAAUAACCUUGCGGGGUUAGUGGAGCCAUCAGUGAGAUACCACUCUUGUAAUGUUAGAUUUCUAACUUUGUAUCAUUAUCUGGUCAAAGAACAGUUUCAGGCGGGCAGUUUGACUGGGGCGGUCGCCUCCCAAACGGUAACGGAGGCGCACAAAGGUUUCCUCUGAACGGGUAGAAAUCGUAUCUAGAGUGUAAAGGCAUAAGGAAGCUUGACUGUGAGACCUACAAGUCGAGCAGGGACGAAAGUCGGUCUUAGUGAUCUGACGGUGCUGAGUGGAAAGGCCGUCACUCAACGGAUAAAAGUUACUCUAAGGAUAACAGGCUGAUCUCCCCCAAGAGUUCACAUCGACGGGGAGGUUUGGCACCUCGAUGUCGGCUCAUCGCAUCCUGGGGCGGUAGUACGUCCCAAGGGUUGGGCUGUUCGCCCAUGAAAGCGGUACGCGAGCUGGGUUCAGAACGUCGUGAGACAGUUCGGUCCAUAUCCGGUGUAGGCGUUAGAAUAUUGAGAGGAGCCUUCUCUAGUACGAGAGGACCGAGAAGGACAUACCUCUGGUCUACCAGUUAUCGUGCCAACGGUAAACGCUGGGUAGCUAUGUGUGGAGUGGAUAACCGCUGAAAGCAUCUAAGUGGGAAGCCCACCUCAAGAUAAGUA
RNAcentral lists this ribosomal RNA (1236 nucleotides) under metagenome. RNAcentral describes it as "bacterial LSU rRNA". It matches the Rfam family "Bacterial large subunit ribosomal RNA", at positions 1564 to 2810 of the family's 2925-position model. The record is from RNAcentral.